Molecule: ribosomal RNA, 874 nt
Filed under: Agaricus sp.
Lineage: Eukaryota; Fungi; Basidiomycota; Agaricomycetes; Agaricales; Agaricaceae
Description: eukaryotic LSU rRNA
Rfam family: Eukaryotic large subunit ribosomal RNA
Source: RNAcentral
UUCCCCUAGUAACUGCGAGUGAAGCGGGAAAAGCUCAAAUUUAAAAUCUGGCGGUCUUUGGCCGUCCGAGUUGUAAUCUAGAGAAGUAAUGCCCGUGCUGGACCGUGUAUAAGUCUCCUGGGAUGGGGCGUCAUAGAGGGUGAGAAUCCCGUCUUUGACACGGACUACCAGUGCAUUGUGGUAUGCUCUCAAAGAGUCGAGUUGUUUGGGAAUGCAGCUCAAAAUGGGUGGUAAAUUCCAUCUAAAGCUAAAUAUUGGCGAGAGACCGAUAGCGAACAAGUACCGUGAGGGAAAGAUGAAAAGAACUUUGGAAAGAGAGUUAAACAGUACGUGAAAUUGCUGAAAGGGAAACGCUUGAAGUCAGUCGCGUUGGCCAGGGAUCAGCCUUGCUUUUGCAUGGUGUACUUUCUGGUUGACGGGUCAGCAUCAAUUUUGACYGCUGGAAAAGGGCCUGGGGAAUGUGGCAGCUUCGGCUGUGUUAUAGCCCCUGGUCGCAUACAGUGGUUGGGAUUGAGGAACUCAGCACGCCGCAAGGCCGGGUUUCGACCACGUUCGUGCUUAGGAUGCUGGCAUAAUGGCUUUAAGCGACCCGUCUUGAAACACGGACCAAGGAGUCUAACAUGCCUGCGAGUAUUUGGGUGGAAAACCCGAGUGCGCAAUGAAAGUGAAAGUUGAGAUCCCUGUCGUGGGGAGCAUCGACGCCCGGACCAGAACUUUUGGGACGGAUCCGCGGUGGAGCAUGUAUGUUGGGACCCGAAAGAUGGUGAACUAUGCCUGAAUAGGGUGAAGCCAGAGGAAACUCUGGUGGAGGCUCGUAGCGAUUCUGACGUGCAAAUCGAUCGUCAAAUUUGGGUAUAGGGGCGAAAGACUAAUC